ACUGAGAUCGGGAGAGGUCGAGAGGUACUCCUGGGGUAGGGGGUGGAAAUACCUCGUAAUCCUAGGAGGACCACCUGUGGCGAAGGCGUCUGACUAGAACGAAUCUGACGGUGAGGAACGAAAGCUAGGGCGCGAACCGGAUUAGAUACCCGGGUAGUCCUAGCCGUAAACUAUGCGGACUUGGUGUGAGGGUGGCUUUGAGCCGUCCUGGUGCCGAAGGGAAGCUGUUAAGUCCGCCGCCUGGGAAGUACGGUCGCAAGACUGAACUUAAAGGAAUUGGCGGGGAGCACCACAACGCGUGGAGCCUGCGGUUUAAUUGGAUUCAACGCCGGAGAUCUCACCAGCGGCGACAGCAGUAUGAUGACCAGGUUGAUGACUUUGUUUGACAAGCUGAGAGGAGGUGCAUGG
Molecule: ribosomal RNA, 408 nt
Filed under: uncultured archaeon
Lineage: Archaea
Description: bacterial SSU rRNA
Rfam family: Archaeal small subunit ribosomal RNA
Source: RNAcentral